UUGAGCUCUUUGUAGGUGGUGACCCCACCUCCACUGUGAAGGCCCCUGUGAAUACUUCAUUGGCUCAUGUGCCAAUCAAGAGUGGACCGAGCCAGGAGGAGGAAAUCUUGGAUGAAGAAGGGGAGGGGAACCCAGAGGCAGAGGAUGGCUCCGAGGGCAGAGAUGCAUGCAAUCAGGAGCUGUUUUAUACCCUGGAGGAGCCUAGCCAGUCACAGCAGUCGGAUCUUGGCGAAGCGCAAAUAGGAGAGGAGGCCCCUGAGAUGACAUUGGGAGGUCAGCCUCCCUUAUCGGCAGCAGAACGGCUGUGCAGAAUUAGAAAGUGGCCAAGAAGAACUAAGGAGGACUUUGUGAGGUUAUGAUGCAUUCCGCCACUGAGAAACAGGAAUUGAAGGAGUGGCAGAAUAGCGAGAACAGGGACUGAAAGGAGAACGCGGCACACCAGAAAGAAGCCAUGGAGCGGCUCUUAAAUGUUAUGUAGCGCCAAGUGGACACGCUCAAGGUGAUACUAGUUCUUCAAACUGAGCAGCUCCACGCCCGCCCUCCCCUGCAGCUGCUGUCGCAAAACUCUUUCCCAUGCGCCCCCACCCCCAACACACUGUU
Dermochelys coriacea (leatherback sea turtle) is the source of this 600-nucleotide long non-coding RNA. RefSeq lists it as uncharacterized. NCBI's taxonomy places the organism in Eukaryota, Metazoa, Chordata, Testudines, Dermochelyidae. The record is from RefSeq and is a predicted model, not a curated record. The transcript has 4 exons.